CCUUCAGAGAGCUUCGGCUCACUAUCGGAUCGUUUUAGAAACAUCAGUGGCCAACGGUCGUCAGGAUCGUUGAGCUGCAUUGGCGGGAUUUCGCCGUCUACGUUUCUCUUUCUUCGCGGACGAACACGCGCUGGGCCUGUAUGCGCAGGAUCCCAUGGUCCUUAACGGGAUAUGCGUUAGGGGCUUGUAGCUCAGUUGGUUAGAGCGCGCGCUUGAUAAGCGUGAGGUCGGAAGUUCAAGUCUUCCCAGGCCCACCACACUCAUCGAGUGAGCAUUCGUCUUCUGGUUACGGGGCCAUAGCUCAGCUGGGAGAGCGCGUGCUUUGCAAGCAUGAGGUCGUCGGUUCGAUCCCGUCUGGCUCCACCAGAUGGUUUGAUCACCAACGACAACCGUCGUCCGCGAAACAUCACUUCGCAUCCUGCUAGUCUGGAUAGACAGCAGUUUGCGUGAUUUCUGACAUCGUAAAGAGGAGAUCGAUCCGAGUUGGAUCGUGCAGAGAAUAUCUGCGCGAGACUUCAUUAUCUCCGGAUCAUUUCGGCGCUCGUGCGCCUUUCAGUGUAGCUCACAAGGCUGCGCCUGGAAGACAUACGAGUUGUAAAUGAUCCUUUUAGCGAAGCUUGACCGCCUCGCUAUCGGAACGAUCUUACGAAGCAAGCUGGUCUUUCUAAUCAUUGUCCGGCUGCAGAUAGCGUUCAUCGAGGGCGCGUGCCGCAAGGUAAUUCUGCAGACAACAUUCUGCCGAGUGUGUGGACAUUGAUAAUGAGAGCAAUCAAGUGCCUUAAGGGUGUUCGGUGGAUGCCUUGGCGCUGAGAGGCGAUGAAGGACGUGCUACGCUGCGAUAAGCCGUGGGGAGCUGCGAAGAAGC
Molecule: unclassified non-coding RNA, 865 nt
Filed under: Bradyrhizobium japonicum
Lineage: Bacteria; Pseudomonadati; Pseudomonadota; Alphaproteobacteria; Hyphomicrobiales; Nitrobacteraceae
Description: partial 16S-23S ribosomal RNA intergenic spacer; may also contain 16S ribosomal RNA and 23S ribosomal RNA
Rfam family: tRNA (bases 181-254)
Source: RNAcentral